ACACAUAGAACGUAACAAGAACAAAUUCUUAUUUACAAUGACGGCCUAACAAAAGGCCUCCUGCGGGGACGCGGGCUGUGAUUAAAAAUAAAAAAAUAUAUAAGUAUAGGACAAAACACACAUCACGACAAGAGAGACAACGCUACUUAAAGAGAGACCUAAGACAACAACAUAGCAAGGCAGCAACACAUGACAACACAACAUGGUAGCAACACAACAUAGCAACAGCACAAAACAGGGUACAAACAUUAUUGGGCACAGACAACAGCACAAAGCGCAAGAAGGUCGAGACAACAAUACAUCACGCAAAGCAGCCACAACUGUCAGGAAGAGUGUCCAUGAUUUGAGUCUUUGAAUUAAGAGAUUGAGAUAAAAUGAAGAGAUUGCGAUUAAAUCUGUGUUUGAAAUUCACCGCUCGACUGAGGGACCUUACAGAUAAUUGUAUGUGAGGUUACAGAGAUGAGGUAGUCAUUCAAAAAUAAUAUGCAACUCAUUAUGUGACUUAAGCACAUUUUUACUCCUGAAUUUAUUUAGGCUUGCCAUAACAAGGGGGUUGAAAACUUAUUGACUCAAGACAGUUCAGAUUUUUAUUUGUAAUUAAUUUGUAAAAACUUCAAAAAACGUUGUUCCACUUUGACGUGACAGUGACACAAAUUCUCAAUUUAAUUCAUUUUAAAUUCAGGCUGUAACACAUGAAAAUUUGGAAAAAAUCAAAGGGUGUGAAUACUUUCUGAAGGAAAUGUAUUCAGGGUGUGAUUAGCUUGGUUUAGCUGAACAGGUAUAUGUAUUCAGGGUGUGAUUAGCUUGGUUUAGCUGAACAGGUAUAUGUAUUCAGGGUGUGAUUAGCUUGGUUUAGCUGAACAGGUAUAUGUAUUCAGGGUGUGAUUAGCUUGGUUUAGCUGAACAGGUAUAUGUAUUCAGGGUGUGAUUAGCUUGGUUUAGCUGAACAGGUAUAUGUAUUCAGGGUGUGAUUAGCUUGGUUUAGCUGAACAGGUAUAUGUAUUCAGGGUGUGAUUAGCUUGGUUUAGCUGAACAGGUAUCUGUAUUCAGGGUGUGAUUAGCUUGGUUUAGCUGAACAGGUAUAUGUAUUCAGGGUGUGAU
Long non-coding RNA from Oncorhynchus keta (chum salmon), 1101 nucleotides. RefSeq lists it as uncharacterized. The record is from RefSeq and is a predicted model, not a curated record. The transcript is spliced from 3 exons. Lineage: Eukaryota; Metazoa; Chordata; Actinopteri; Salmoniformes; Salmonidae.